UUGGAGGGCAAGUCUGGUGCCAGCAGCCGCGGUAAUUCCAGCUCCAGUAGCGUAUAUUAAGGUUGUUGCAGUUAAAAAGCUCGUAGUUGAAUUUCGGGGUCAGUAGGUUGGUCAUGCCACUGGUAUGUACUGGUCUCACUGAUUCCUCCUUCCUGAUGAACUGUAAUGCCAUUAAUUUGGUGUUGCAGGGAAUCUGGACUGUUACUUUGAAAAAAUUAGAGUGUUUAAAGCAGGCUAACGCCUGAAUACAUUAGCACGGAAUAAUGAAAUAGGACGUUCGAUCCUAUUUUGUUGGUUUCUAGGAUUGACGUAAUGAUUAAUAGGGAUAGUUGGGGGCAUUAGUAUUCAAUUGUCAGAGGUGAAAUUCUUGGAUUUAUUGAAGACUAACUACUGCGAAAGCAUUUGCCAAGGAUGUUUUCAUUAAUCAAGAACGAAAGUUAGGGGAUCGAAGACGACCAGAUACCGUCGUAGUCUUAACCAUAAACUAUGCCGACUAGGGAUCGGAUGAUGUUAAUUUUUUAAUGACUCAUUCGGCGCCUUACGGGAAACCAAAGUGUUUGGGUUC
This 565-nucleotide ribosomal RNA is filed under the name uncultured Glomeromycotina. Its description in RNAcentral is "SSU rRNA". It matches the Rfam family "Eukaryotic small subunit ribosomal RNA", at positions 548 to 1114 of the family's 1831-position model. Lineage: Eukaryota; Fungi; Glomeromycota. The record is from RNAcentral.